RNAcentral lists this ribosomal RNA (253 nucleotides) under uncultured bacterium. Its description in RNAcentral is "partial 16S ribosomal RNA". It matches the Rfam family "Bacterial small subunit ribosomal RNA", at positions 524 to 776 of the family's 1533-position model. The record is from RNAcentral.
UACGUAGGGGGCAAGCGUUAUCCGGAUUUACUGGGUGUAAAGGGAGCGUAGACGGAGAGGCAAGUCUGAUGUGAAAGGCCGGGGCUCAACCCCGGGACUGCAUUGGAAACUGUUUAUCUAGAGUGUCGGAGAGGCAAGUGGAAUUCCUAGUGUAGCGGUGAAAUGCGUAGAUAUUAGGAGGAACACCAGUGGCGAAGGCGGCUUGCUGGACGAUGACUGACGUUGAGGCUCGAAAGCGUGGGGAGCAAACAGG